AGAGCGCAUCGCGAAGUGACAGGUGCCGCUGACAGCGAGAAAAUCUGGCAUAAACGUCACGCGCUGGUAUAAACGCGUUCGACCGGUAAGUUCGGUUUAUCUGACAGAAGCGAAAGGGGAAAGCAAGCUGCCGCUAAGUUUGUUAUGGUUGCGAGAAGUUGCCGUAAACAAAAAUAGCAGGUGAUGAAGCGAGUGUCUGCAAGGGAAAGGAUUCUACAAACUCAGCUGAAAGUCAACAUUCUUGGUUUGAACGCAGAAUAAAGAAUACCAAAUAAAACUAUCCAAUCGGAUGUCAUCAGCCUCGAUGACAUCAAGUUGUCGUGGUUGAGUGGAUGCGGAUUCUGCCCACUAAGUGGAACGUCGAGGGUUCAACUCCCGGUUUCGAAGUUUUGAGUUUUGUUAUCUGUCGGUAACUGUUUGAUAUUAUGAUUAGGGAUAGUUUUUACUAGAUUUUGAAGUGUAAAUAUUAUUCUUAUUGGAAAGUGAUUAUAAUUUUU
Long non-coding RNA from Culex pipiens pallens (northern house mosquito), 497 nucleotides. RefSeq lists it as uncharacterized. The transcript has 2 exons. Lineage: Eukaryota; Metazoa; Arthropoda; Insecta; Diptera; Culicidae. The record is from RefSeq and is a predicted model, not a curated record.